This 427-nucleotide ribosomal RNA is filed under the name uncultured prokaryote. Its description in RNAcentral is "bacterial SSU rRNA". It matches the Rfam family "Bacterial small subunit ribosomal RNA", at positions 355 to 774 of the family's 1533-position model. The record is from RNAcentral.
UGGGGAAUCUUCCGCAAUGGACGAAAGUCUGACGGAGCAACGCCGCGUGAGUGAAGAAGGCCUUCGGGUUGUAAAGCUCUGUUAUUAGGGACGAACGUAUCCUAUAUGAAUAAUGUGGGAUAGUGACGGUACCUAAGGAGGAAGCCAUGGCUAACUACGUGCCAGCAGCCGCGGUAAUACGUAGGUGGCAAGCGUUGUCCGGAAUUAUUGGGCGUAAAGCGCGGGCAGGGGGGAUCAUAAGUCUUAUGUAAAAGUGCGGGGCUCAACCCCGUAGCGCGUGAGAAACUGUGAUUCUUGAGUGCCGGAGAGGAAAGCGGAAUUCCCAGUGUAGCGGUGAAAUGCGUAGAUAUUGGGAGGAACACCAGUGGCGAAGGCGGCUUUCUGGACGGUGUCUGACACUGAGGCGCGAAAGCCAGGGGAGCGAACG